Molecule: ribosomal RNA, 253 nt
Filed under: uncultured bacterium
Lineage: Bacteria
Description: partial 16S ribosomal RNA
Rfam family: Bacterial small subunit ribosomal RNA
Source: RNAcentral
UACGUAGGGUGCGAGCGUUGUCCGGAAUUAUUGGGCGUAAAGAGCUCGUAGGCGGUUUGUCACGUCGGCUGUGAAACCCCGGGGCUUAACUCCGGGCCUGCAUUCGAUACGGGCUGACUAGAGUUCGGCAGGGGAGACUGGAAUUCCUGGUGUAGCGGUGAAAUGCGCAGAUAUCAGGAGGAACACCGGUGGCGAAGGCGGGUCUCUGGGCCGAUACUGACGCUGAGGAGCGAAAGCGUGGGGAGCGAACAGG